Molecule: non-coding RNA, 23 nt
Filed under: Rattus norvegicus (Norway rat)
Lineage: Eukaryota; Metazoa; Chordata; Mammalia; Rodentia; Muridae
Source: RNAcentral
UUUCCACGUAGCCUACUGACCUU